UGCCAUGCUGGUUGUGGGUGGUCCUGCUCACAGUCCUCCUGUCAUGCACCAUCUCAUGCUUGUUCGGCUAAGUAUACUCGAGCAUCAGAAGAGGGUAAAUGUCGUUAUGACUUGACGAGCAUAGCUACCCUAUCAUGCGUGCGGCCAGAUGGUGUAUGGAGGCCAUCCUCACAUACAUGCUGCAAUGCAUUAUUAUAUGCUAUUGAUCAAGUUCCAAGUAGCGAUGUGAGUGGAGCAUGUUGCCUUUGCCGCUAUCUCAAAGAAAGAGGGGGCACCUAUUAAACUGGCUACAAGUUAUGUUAUGUGCAAUGGAGAGGACAAACACGUCGUCACCGAGUGGUCAUUUCCAAUCAAAACAUGUUCUGACGAAUGUGGGCAAGGAACCAUUUCCUCACUCGGCAUAGAGUAUGAGGAUACUCCAGCGGUAAAAGCACACAGCACUGUCAACGAGGGACAAGAACAUGUUAGUGGAAUAGGACAAACACACGUCACUACCAAGGUCAUCUGGGUAGCUGUUGUAGUAUUCAUUGUCAUAUGGGUUAUCUGCUUCUGGUAUUUUCGGAGGUCGUCCAAGGCAGCAGAAAAUAAUGUAAGUGAACCCCGAUCUGGGCAACGGCGAUCUGUUGGCCCUUCAUCAGCAAAUUAGCGAAAGGAGAAGAGGCUUUCAUCAACAUGAAAGGGGCUAAAUCAUUUGCAUGAGAUUCACGCGACUGAUUUGGCAUCUAGUUACUACUUGCAGCUCAUCUUGUUCGCCAAGUUACUGUAGUUGUCUUGGGUUGUGUGAUGUAUCCAUAUAUAGAACUACGGGCUUGUUAUUUUUGGUACCUGACCAACAACAACAGCCUCAUAAACUCUAAGAUAGAUAUCCGAUUCACUCUAAUAGUCGUCCAUCCAUGCUUCUGCUUGAUGAUCUCCAUGUGCCGAGGGAUGUUGCUUAGCUUUCA
Molecule: long non-coding RNA, 944 nt
Organism: Panicum virgatum (switchgrass)
Lineage: Eukaryota; Viridiplantae; Streptophyta; Magnoliopsida; Poales; Poaceae
Exons: 2
Source: RefSeq, a predicted model, not a curated record